GUGUCAGCGAUGUAUCAGAGCCGGCUGUGGAUGGAGACAGAACCGCUGCUCCUGGGGCAGUGAUCCAAUCCAGAAGGAAAGCAUUUGUGAAAACAUGGAGUUUGGGAAAAACUUUUUUAAACCAGAGAUCUCCUCCGUUUCUCCCAGCGUUGUGUCUUUCUAUGGCAGAAAUCAUGCUGUGCUGUCAGGUCAUUACCUCAGAGAUGUGACCAGAGUCAGGAUUCAGGACAACAUGGGCUGUGACACAAAG
Molecule: long non-coding RNA, 250 nt
Organism: Cyprinodon variegatus (sheepshead minnow)
Lineage: Eukaryota; Metazoa; Chordata; Actinopteri; Cyprinodontiformes; Cyprinodontidae
Exons: 3
Source: RefSeq, a predicted model, not a curated record